CGGAGCCGCCCGGCGGGGGCUGCGAGUAGCCGCAGGGUCCUCCCCGCCUCCGCCCGCGCUCCCCCGGGAGCCGCGGGUGCUGCGGCCGCUCGACCCCCGCGCUCGGGGGUGUCGGUGGGAAGCCCCUGGCAGGGGACGGGGGUCUGGCGGCGCCUCCGGUGUUUCCAGCCUGGAGGCUCUGGAGGCAGGUCCCUGCCCCCCACGGGAAGGGUUCCAGGAUCAGGAAGAACAGGUCCCAAAUGCCCUGCAGUCGUAGCACGUAGAGAACAUACACGGAACACAAACAGACGCUCCCAAAGGUGUCUGUGAGCUUCCCAAAUCGGAGCACAGCUGGAAUCACCCGGGUUUUGCAUCCUCAGGCUCUGGGGUCAGCGCUGGCGUGGUGGGCAGAGCUGGGAUUGCUGGGAAAACGUGUUGGGAAUGUGUUGGGAGCGUGUCCUGCUCCUCCACCCGCUCGGUCGCUCGGGCAAACACACCAAUAUGGUGCGACAGGACCACCACGUGAGCCCAGGCUGUCGUCUCCCACCCAUCUCCUCCUGUCUUCAUUUUCCAGGUUCGUGGCUGACAGUGAUUCUGGGUCGGGUGUGUGUGGAGAUAUACACACAUAUUGACUUUGGAAAAGUCCUGCUUGACCAGGAGCUGUGUCAUCACAGUGCUCCAGCCUCCCGUGGAGGGUGGCUGGAUGAAUAACAAGGUACUGAUAUCCUGUGACUUAAUUCCUGCGAAUGCCUGGGAAUGAGCUACUAAACCACCCCAGCACAAGCCUGCCUGCAGCAGAUGCUGAAUCAGAGUAAUUAAGAAUUAAAAAAGGUGAUUUCCCUCCCCAAACAGCCGCAGAGGCCUCAAAGUUUAUUAUUAACGUGUCCACCCUGCGUGUGCUGGCACAAAAAGAGGUGUUUGCCCGAUAAA
Chiroxiphia lanceolata (lance-tailed manakin) is the source of this 909-nucleotide long non-coding RNA. RefSeq lists it as uncharacterized. The transcript is spliced from 3 exons. NCBI's taxonomy places the organism in Eukaryota, Metazoa, Chordata, Aves, Passeriformes, Pipridae. The record is from RefSeq and is a predicted model, not a curated record.